This is a non-coding RNA of Salmo salar (Atlantic salmon), 54 nucleotides long. The record is from Rfam. NCBI's taxonomy places the organism in Eukaryota, Metazoa, Chordata, Actinopteri, Salmoniformes, Salmonidae.
UGCACACAUGACUGUAAGUCGCUCUAGAUAAAAGCGCCUGCUAAAUAGCAUUUA